RNAcentral lists this long non-coding RNA (1234 nucleotides) under Equus asinus (donkey). Its description in RNAcentral is "lncRNA (ENSEASG00005037672.1)". Lineage: Eukaryota; Metazoa; Chordata; Mammalia; Perissodactyla; Equidae. The record is from RNAcentral.
GUUACAAGCACGUGGACCCACUCCAAAAUAAGGGCGAGCAUGGUACUUUGGGGAAUUGAGAGAAAUCCAUAUGGCUCUGCAGGAAGGAUCAGAGGAGACUAGCUGUGCUAGGUACUUACACCUCCCUUCAAGGAAGGACUUGGUGUCCAGCUGCACAGUGUGCGGUCAGCAGUCUACAGCUGUUCAGCUCCUUCAGGUGUUGAUCCUUAAUGAAAAUCUUGCUCCUUAAACUCUGUGUUAGAAUCAGCUCCUGGUGGAUCCAACUCCAACAGCAGAGGAACAGGAAGACUUUGUGUCAUGUGUGAUAAUAUCAUGAGGUUUCUCCUCAGAUGUGAAGGAGGUGAGGGUCCCUGUAGCCUAAUAGGGAUGGACUACAAGUCCAGUGAGCGAGAGAGCAACUUUAGAGUCUUCACUGAAGGAUCUGCAGGAAUGUGGUGACGACCAGGCAGAGGGUCUAUACUGAUAGUCAUCAUCAAUGACAACUGUCUGCAUCAAUGACAUGGCAACUUCCUCUCCAGAGUCAUGGUGGCGAGACACAAAUGACUCUAUUUCAUUUGAUGGUCCCCCUAUACUGACCCAAUCAGCAGGAAGUAGUCAGAAAGACAAGGAUGACCCUGUUCCUCUUAUAGCGUAUGAUUAUGCUGGGUUACAAUUGACAGUGAGGAGUUGUCGGCGCCACUCACAUGAACAGUCAUCUUUCCUAUACAUAUUAAAGAUUUUGUUCUUGUUAUCUUUAAACUAAAUCAGGUAUAACGCAUUGCUCUGGUCUCUGAUGCUUAUCCAGUAAAACAGAAGAUUAUCAGGAACUGAGACCAGAUGUCUGCCCCACCUGGAGACCAGCCUCUUAUAUAACUGGCUUGUAGUCUUUGUUCUGUGAGAUGGUUUUUUCAGACAUUAGUCAGCCAUCUUCCCCCUUGCUGGCAAGCUGCAAUAAAACCCUUUCUCUCCUACCACCUUGCUUCUCCACUAUUGGUGUGUCUUAAGGCUGGCAGAUGACCCACCCUGGGCAGUAACAAAUUGAAUUUCCACACCAUGACUUUUUCCAGGGACCCGAUUUUCUUGGAGGAAGAUAAAAGAGGGAUACGCUUGUGCUUUCCAUAAAACUGAAACGUACUGAAAUGUUUUAAAGUAAAUUUAAAAUUGACAUUUUAUAUUUUUACUAUCACAAUUAUUGAUUUUUGUUUUUUACUUUUUUAUUUAUUGGCCUAUUAAAAUUGAUUUCUAUUUCCUCUUU